CCUACGGGGGGCAGCAGUGGGGAAUAUUGGACAAUGGGCGAAAGCCUGAUCCAGCCAUGCCGCGUGUGUGAAGAAGGUCUUCGGAUUGUAAAGCACUUUAAGUUGGGAGGAAGGGCAGUAAGUUAAUGCCUUGCUGUUUUGACGUUACCGACAGAAUAAGCACCGGCUAACUUCGUGCCAGCAGCCGCGGUAAUACGAAGGGUGCAAGCGUUAAUCGGAAUUACUGGGCGUAAAGCGCGCGCAGGUGGUUCGUUAAGUUGGAUGUGAAAGCCCCGGGCUCAACCUGGGAACUGCAUCCAAAACUGGCGAGCUAGAGUACGGUAGAGGGUGGUGGAAUUUCCUGUGUAGCGGUGAAAUGCGUAGAUAUAGGAAGGAACACCAGUGGCGAAGGCGACCACCUGGACUGAUACUGACACUGAGGUGCGAAAGCGUGGGGAGCAAACAGGAUUAGAUACCCUUGUAGUC
This 465-nucleotide ribosomal RNA is filed under the name uncultured bacterium. RNAcentral's name for it is "bacterial SSU rRNA". It matches the Rfam family "Bacterial small subunit ribosomal RNA", at positions 338 to 795 of the family's 1533-position model. The record is from RNAcentral.